GCCUUCGUGGUGUACUGGUGAGCACGCUCAGCUCGUAUUCGAGCGGUCCGUGGUUCGAUUCCCGGUGAGGGCA
RNAcentral lists this transfer RNA (73 nucleotides) under Stegodyphus mimosarum. It matches the Rfam family "tRNA". Rfam says of the family: Transfer RNA (tRNA) molecules are approximately 80 nucleotides in length. Their secondary structure includes four short double-helical elements and three loops (D, anti-codon, and T loops). Lineage: Eukaryota; Metazoa; Arthropoda; Arachnida; Araneae; Eresidae. The record is from Rfam by way of RNAcentral.